AUCUGACAACCCUAUUGCAACCUCACAGCUGCAGUCGUCUGCCCCUGCAUCUGCUACACCAGUGAUACAGAUCUGCCACCCCCAGCAGUUCAGCUGCAGUCACAGUUGUCCUCUGCUGAGGCAUUUAAUUUACCGCCUGAACCGGUUCCUUCUACAGUAGCCGUGAAGGGAGAAACUUGUGAGGAUUCCCAGAUGGAUACAGAUCUGCCAUGCACUCCACCACUGCCCGACAGCCUCACCCAGAAGUGCAUACACUGGGCCUAUCAAGACUGAUAAAGCAGAGAUGGGUGGCUGGCAAGGAAAAAUAAAACACAACAUGCACACACUCUCUCUCUGGCGCACACACACACACAUUAUCCCCCAAUGUAAAGAAAUUGUAAUUACUUGUUUAUUUUAUGUAUGCUCCAGUUUAUUUUAGGAUUGGAGAUAUCUACGCCUAUCUAUCCAUUGUCAAUAUCUACAUAAUUACUCUAAAUAUCUAUCAAAUCAAAAUGGGAUUUAUAAAAUGUCCGAUUUGAGGAAAUUCUUUGUGCUUUUCUCGGAGUUGAAAAACAUGCCUCACUCUCUCUCWCACACACACACAUUAGACCCAAUGUAAAUACAUUGAUUAUUUUAUUUAUGCUCCAUUUUAUUUGAGGAUUGUGUGCAAUUGACAGUUAAAACAACAGUUCGGUUUAUAMGAUAUUUCUCUAAUUAAAAUGAAUGACUGCAGACCUGCGACCCUCUUGUGUAGACCCUCUGAGUAGAGCUGAAACGGCCCCAACAGCCCWCACAUAUGUACAUGGUUCCCAGGAGUUGUCCUGCAAAAAUAUUUUUUAUGUACCAAGGCUACCCACCCUGGCUACCCAUCCACAUCGCUCUGGCCAAACGGACGUUUGUUCUCCACAAUGAAUGAACGUAGUGCUUAAAAACCAAGCAGCCAAGGAAUAGAGCGAGAGAUGACCUGGAGGGAG
Molecule: long non-coding RNA, 953 nt
Organism: Salvelinus sp. IW2-2015
Lineage: Eukaryota; Metazoa; Chordata; Actinopteri; Salmoniformes; Salmonidae
Source: RefSeq, a predicted model, not a curated record